UACGUAGGGUCCAAGCGUUGUCCGGAUUUAUUGGGCGUAAAGAGCUCGUAGGCGGUUCCGUAAGUCGGAUGUGAAAACUCGGGGCUCAACCCCGAGACGCCAUCCGAUACUGCGGUGACUUGAGUCUGGUAGGGGAACACGGAAUUCCUGGUGUAGCGGUGAAAUGCGCAGAUAUCAGGAGGAACACCAAUGGCGAAGGCAGCUCGCUGGGACGGUACUGACGCUGAGACGCGAAAGCGUGGGGAGCAAACAGG
RNAcentral lists this ribosomal RNA (254 nucleotides) under uncultured bacterium. RNAcentral's name for it is "partial 16S ribosomal RNA". It matches the Rfam family "Bacterial small subunit ribosomal RNA", at positions 524 to 776 of the family's 1533-position model. The record is from RNAcentral.